Molecule: ribosomal RNA, 1360 nt
Filed under: uncultured bacterium
Lineage: Bacteria
Description: 16S ribosomal RNA
Rfam family: Bacterial small subunit ribosomal RNA
Source: RNAcentral
UUAGAGUUUGAUCCUGGCUCAAGAGGAACGCUGGCGGCGCGCCUAACACAUGCAAGUCAAACGAGCGAGAGAGAGCUUGCUUUCUCGAGCGAGUGGCGAACGGGUGAGUAACGCGUGAGGAACCUGCCUCAAAGAGGGGGACAACAGUUGGAAACGACUGCUAAUACCGCAUAAGCCCACGGGUCGGCACCGACCAGAGGGAAAAGGAGCAAUCCGCUUUGAGAUGGCCUCGCGUCCGAUUAGCUAGUUGGUGAGGUAAUGGCCCACCAAGGCAACGAUCGGUAGCCGGACUGAGAGGUUGAACGGCCACAUUGGGACUGAGACACGGCCCAGACUCCUACGGGAGGCAGCAGUGGGGAAUAUUGCACAAUGGGGGAAACCCUGAUGCAGCGACGCCGCGUGGAGGAAGAAGGUCUUCGGAUUGUAAACUCCUGUUGUUGGGGAAGAUAAUGACGGUACCCAACAAGGAAGUGACGGCUAACUACGUGCCAGCAGCCGCGGUAAAACGUAGGUCACAAGCGUUGUCCGGAACUACUGGGUGUAAAGGGAGCGCAGCCGGGAAGACAAGUUGGAAGUGAAAUCUAUGGGCUCAACCCAUAAACUGCUUUCAAAACUGUUUUUCUUGAGUAGUGCAGAGGUAGGCGGAAUUCCCGGUGUAGCGGUGGAAUGCGUAGAUAUCGGGAGGAACACCAGUGGCGAAGGCGGCCUACUGGGCACCAACUGACGCUGAGGCUCGAAAGUGUGGGUAGCAAACAGGAUUAGAUACCCUGGUAGUCCACACCGUAAACGAUGAUUACUAGGUGUUAGAGGAUUGACCCCUUCAGUGCCGCAGUUAACACAAUAAGUAAUCCACCUGGGGAGUACGACCGCAAGGUUGAAACUCAAAGGAAUUGACGGGGGCCCGCACAAGCAGUGGAGUAUGUGGUUUAAUUCGACGCAACGCGAAGAACCUUACCAAGUCUUGACAUCCCUUGACAGACAUAGAAAUAUGUAAUCUCUUCAGAGCAAGGAGACAGGUGGUGCAUGGUUGUCGUCAGCUCGUGUCGUGAGAUGUUGGGUUAAGUCCCGCAACGAGCGCAACCCUUAUGGUCAGUUAGUACGCAAGAGGACUCUGGCCAGACUGCCGUUGACAAAACGGAGGAAGGUGGGGAUGACGUCAAAUCAUCAUGCCCUUUAUGACUUGGGCUACACACGUACUACAAUGGCGUUAAACAAAGAGAAGCAAGACCGCGAGGUGGAGCAAAACUCAGAAACAACGUCCCAGUUCGGACUGCAGGCUGCAACUCGCCUGCACGAAGUCGGAAUUGCUAGUAAUCGUGGAUCAGCAUGCCACGGUGAAUACGUUCCCGGGCCGUGUACA